GGUUUUGCCGCGCAGAGGCCUUCCUUCCUCUCAGCCGGCAAGUUUAACGAGGAAAAUCCUGCCCUCUUUUCCCCCUACAGACAUCCACAUCCAGAUCGAUCGGUAGUUCCGUCAUGCCCUCGAUCAAUGUCAAUCGAUGCAGACCAGGCAACAGAAGUGACUCUUCAACCAUCGAUGACGAACUUCAAGAACUCCAAAAGCUGCAAGGGCUACUGAGGUGUAAGAUUUGCAAGGUCCGGCGUGUGGCCUUGACCUUCCUGCCGUGUGGUCACUGUGUCGCCUGCGAGGAAUGUGGCUAUAAGGUCCAGAGCUGCCCCUUAUGUCCUAAGAUGUCAAAAAUUCAGGAAAUUGUAAAAACAAUAUUUGCCCCGUAAACGGUGAUUCGUUGUUUGCAUUUAUGUUAUUAUUGAUGAAAAUCACAUGUUUAUUAUUUAAUAAUUGUAAAGUGAUGUUACGCAUGUUUCCUAGUGUAGCCUUCAGGCAUUUUUCCUAGCAAUAAAAAUCAAUCUUUUUUUCCGUGAUAGGGAUAGGUCUAGAUUUAACAAAGGUAAAAGGAUCGCCCCUCUCCCCAACUUGUUUCGGCAGCAUAAUCUGUGAACAUAAUUAACAUUUUUAUAUAGAUUAGGUAAGCACAAACAUGUUAGGCAGACCAUAUAGCUAAGAUAAAUUCGGCAUUUUGACCUGCAGAAUAUUUCACAACACUUAUGUCAUUGACAUGAUCAGCGGUUAUCAAUUAAGUCAGUAAUGGUUUCUCUCACUACAGUUGGCGCAGUUUCAGAUUUGUGAAAAGUUACAACUUUUCUAUAAGUCAUCGUUUUAAAAGAAUUGCUUGUGCAAAUAGAAUCGGUUGAUAGAUAAAUCAUUUUCAUGUUCAGUAGUAUAUGAUUGAACAUGAUUUAAAAUGAGAAAUAUAUGUUACACAUUCUUGUUUCAAAACUUCAUAGUUCAAGACACAUUGUUGUCUAGCUUCUUACAGAGUAUC
Dreissena polymorpha is the source of this 982-nucleotide long non-coding RNA. RefSeq lists it as uncharacterized. The transcript is spliced from 3 exons. The record is from RefSeq and is a predicted model, not a curated record. Lineage: Eukaryota; Metazoa; Mollusca; Bivalvia; Myida; Dreissenidae.